AGGGGAAUAGCUCAGUGAUAGAGCUCAUUCUUAGCAUGCGUGAGGCCCUGGGUUCAACCCCCAGUACUUCCA
Molecule: transfer RNA, 72 nt
Filed under: Bos taurus (domestic cattle)
Lineage: Eukaryota; Metazoa; Chordata; Mammalia; Artiodactyla; Bovidae
Also listed under: 3 other names
Rfam family: tRNA
About the family: Transfer RNA (tRNA) molecules are approximately 80 nucleotides in length.
Source: Rfam by way of RNAcentral